GACGAACGCUGGCGGCGUGCUUAACACAUGCAAGUCGAGCGAGAAACCCUCUUCGGAGGGGAGUACAGCGGCGAACGGGUGAGUAACACGUGGGCAACCUGCCCCAAGGAGCGGGACAACCCGGGGAAACCCGGGCUAAUACCGCAUGUUCCGCAGCGCCUGAAGGUGCUUCGGGAAAUGGUAGCUUCGGCCUCCGCCUUGGGAUGGGCCCGCGGCGCAUUAGCUUGUUGGUGAGGUAAUGGCUCACCAAGGCGACGAUGCGUAGCUGGUCUGAGAGGACGAUCAGCCACACUGGGACUGAGACACGGCCCAGACUCCUACGGGAGGCAGCAGUGGGGAAUCUUGCGCAAUGGGCGGAAGCCUGACGCAGCAACGCCGCGUGA
Molecule: ribosomal RNA, 383 nt
Filed under: uncultured bacterium
Lineage: Bacteria
Description: bacterial SSU rRNA
Rfam family: Bacterial small subunit ribosomal RNA
Source: RNAcentral